Molecule: ribosomal RNA, 496 nt
Filed under: uncultured bacterium
Lineage: Bacteria
Description: partial 16S ribosomal RNA
Rfam family: Bacterial small subunit ribosomal RNA
Source: RNAcentral
GAUGAACGCUGGCGGCGUGCCUAAUACAUGCAAGUCGAGCGAACAGACGAGGAGCUUGCUCCUUUGACGUUAGCGGCGGACGGGUGAGUAACACGUAGGUAACCUACCUAUAAGACUGGGAUAACUUCGGGAAACCGGAGCUAAUACCGGAUAAUAUUUCGAACCGCAUGGUUCGAUAGUGAAAGAUGGCUUUGCUAUCACUUAUAGAUGGACCUGCGCCGUAUUAGCUAGUUGGUAAGGUAACGGCUUACCAAGGCAACGAUACGUAGCCGACCUGAGAGGGGGAUCGGCCACACGGGAACUGAGCCACGGUCCAGACCCCCAGGGGAGGCAGCAGUAGGGAAUCUUCCGCAAUGGGCGAAAGCCUGACGGAGCAACGCCGCGUGAGUGAUGAAGGGCUGCGGAUCGUAAAACUCUUUUUUUAGGGAAGAACAAACGUGUAAGUAACUGUGCCCGUCUUGACGGUACCUAAUCAGAAAGCCCCGGCUAACUGCGU